GCUCCAGUGGCCUAGUGGAUAAAGUGUCCGCCUCGGAUGCGGGAGGUCGUGGGUUCAAAUCAUACCAAAGACU
Potamilus streckersoni is the source of this 73-nucleotide non-coding RNA. The record is from the annotation of a GenBank genome assembly. Lineage: Eukaryota; Metazoa; Mollusca; Bivalvia; Unionida; Unionidae.